GCGGAUAUGGCGGAAUUGGCAGACGCGCACGGUUCAGGUCCGUGUGUUGAACAGACAUGCAGGUUCGAAUCCUGUUAUCCGCACCA
RNAcentral lists this transfer RNA (86 nucleotides) under Clostridium aminobutyricum. RNAcentral describes it as "tRNA-Leu". It matches the Rfam family "tRNA". Rfam says of the family: Transfer RNA (tRNA) molecules are approximately 80 nucleotides in length. Their secondary structure includes four short double-helical elements and three loops (D, anti-codon, and T loops). Further hydrogen bonds mediate the characteristic L-shaped molecular structure. tRNAs have two regions of fundamental functional importance: the anti-codon, which is responsible for specific mRNA codon recognition, and the 3' end, to which the tRNAs corresponding amino acid is attached (by aminoacyl-tRNA synthetases). tRNAs cope with the degeneracy of the genetic code in two manners: having more than one tRNA (with a specific anti-codon) for a particular amino acid; and 'wobble' base-pairing, i.e. permitting non-standard base-pairing at the 3rd anti-codon position. The record is from RNAcentral. Lineage: Bacteria; Bacillati; Bacillota; Clostridia; Eubacteriales; Clostridiaceae. RNAcentral also lists the same sequence under 3 other names.